GGGACGGCGUACAUAGGGCUCCGUGGAAGGAGCUGGGGAGCCCCUUCACUGCCCAUAGUGUUCCCCUUCUCCAAAAAGGCUCCGGUGCUGGUUUGGCGCUUCGGUAUCAUAAAGGGUAAAAAGACCAAAGGAAAAACCACCCUGACCCCGACUUGACCCCAAGCCCAAGGCAGGGGCAAGAAGAAGGAACCCACCAAUCUCUGAACAGGAAAACUCAGCAAUUCCGAGCUCAGGAAUUGAAAUCCCAGAGGCCUCCACCCUCGGAAGCCCCACCCCCAUCCCAUACUUCCUAUAUAAACCUUGCUUUCUGCUCACUUCCCCGUAGCUUCACUCCUGAGCAGAGGCAGCCACCCUCUGGGAUUAUCCCCUCCCAAUAAAUCUCUUGUGUGA
Mastomys coucha (southern multimammate mouse) is the source of this 390-nucleotide long non-coding RNA. RefSeq lists it as uncharacterized. The record is from RefSeq and is a predicted model, not a curated record. The transcript is spliced from 2 exons. NCBI's taxonomy places the organism in Eukaryota, Metazoa, Chordata, Mammalia, Rodentia, Muridae.